This 73-nucleotide transfer RNA is filed under the name Schistocerca americana (American grasshopper). RNAcentral's name for it is "tRNA-Tyr". It matches the Rfam family "tRNA". From Rfam's summary of the family: Transfer RNA (tRNA) molecules are approximately 80 nucleotides in length. Their secondary structure includes four short double-helical elements and three loops (D, anti-codon, and T loops). Lineage: Eukaryota; Metazoa; Arthropoda; Insecta; Orthoptera; Acrididae. The record is from RNAcentral. RNAcentral also lists the same sequence under 1 other name.
CCUCUGGUAGCUCAGUUGGUAGAGCGGUGGACUGUAGAUCCAUAGGUCGCUGGUUCAAAUCAGGCCCAGAGGA